GGGGACAUAGCUCAGUGGUAUAGCACUUGCCUAGCAUGCAUGAGGCUCUUGGUUCAAUCCCUAGUACCACCA
RNAcentral lists this transfer RNA (72 nucleotides) under Heterocephalus glaber (naked mole-rat). It matches the Rfam family "tRNA". From Rfam's summary of the family: Transfer RNA (tRNA) molecules are approximately 80 nucleotides in length. Their secondary structure includes four short double-helical elements and three loops (D, anti-codon, and T loops). The record is from Rfam by way of RNAcentral. Lineage: Eukaryota; Metazoa; Chordata; Mammalia; Rodentia; Bathyergidae.